This 496-nucleotide ribosomal RNA is filed under the name uncultured bacterium. RNAcentral's name for it is "partial 16S ribosomal RNA". It matches the Rfam family "Bacterial small subunit ribosomal RNA", at positions 29 to 507 of the family's 1533-position model. The record is from RNAcentral.
AUGAACGCUGGCGGCGUGCCUAAUACAUGCCAGUCGCGCGAACAGACGAGGAGCUUGCUCCUCUGACGUUAGCGGCGGACGGGUGAGUAACACGUGGAUAACCUACCUAUAAGACUGGUAUAACUUCGGGAAACCGGAGCUAAUACCGGAUAAUAUAUUGAACCGCAUGGUUCAAUAGUGAAAGACGGUUUUGCUGUCACUUAUAGAUGGAUCCGCGCCGCAUUAGCUAGUUGGUAAGGUAACGGCUUACCAAGGCAACGAUGCGUAGCCGACCUGAGAGGGUGAUCGGCCACACUGGAACUGAGACACGGUCCAGACUCCUACGGGAGGCAGCAGUAGGGAAUCUUCCGCAAAGGGCGAAAGCUUGACGGAGCAACGCCGCGUGAGUGAUGAAGGUCUUCGGAUCGUAAAACUCUGUUAUUAGGGAAGAACAAAUGUGUAAGUAACUAUGCACGUCUUGACGGUACCUAAUCAGAAAGCCACGGCUAACUACGUG